RNAcentral lists this ribosomal RNA (848 nucleotides) under Crinitomyces flavificans. RNAcentral describes it as "LSU rRNA". It matches the Rfam family "Eukaryotic large subunit ribosomal RNA", at positions 38 to 964 of the family's 3401-position model. Lineage: Eukaryota; Fungi; Ascomycota; Dipodascomycetes; Dipodascales; Trichomonascaceae. The record is from RNAcentral.
GCAUAUCAAUAAGCGGAGGAAAAGAAACCAACAGGGAUAGCCUCAGUAGCGGCGAGUGAAGCGGCUAAAGCUCAAAUUUAAAAUCCUCCGGGAGUUGUAAUUUGUAGACUUGUUUUAGGUGACUGAUUAAAAUUUGUUGGAAUACAAUACCAUAGAGGGUGAUAGUCCCGUUAAAUCUUAACCAAUUGUAAAACAAAGUCAAAGAGUCGAGUUGUUUGGGAAUGCAGCUCAAAGUGGGUGGUAAACUCCAUCUAAAGCUAAAUAUUGGCGAGAGACCGAUAGCGAACAAGUACAGUGAUGGAAAGAUGAAAAGAACUUUGAAAAGAGAGUGAAAUAGUACGUGAAAUUGUUGAAAGGGAAGGAUUUAUUGAUAGACAUGAUUUACUAGAACAAACUUCCUUUGGGUGGUUGUACUCUAGUAACAUCAGGUGAAUUUUUAUGAAAUGGGAAUGAGAAAACUUUUGAAAUGUGGCUCCUCGGAGUGUUAUAGUCAAAGGAAAUAGUUCCACAAUUUAUAUGAAUUCACAUAAUAUUAAUAAAUCACCCGUCUUGAAACACGGACCAAGGAGUCUACCAGUCUGGCAAGUAUUUGGGCGUAAACCCCGAAUGCGUAAUGAAAGUGAAUGUGGGACCUUUUUGUGCACCACACGCGGGCGGUCAACUUAUUUGAUACGCUCAGUGGAGCCCGUCUGGUGGGACCCGAAAGAUGGUGAACUAUGCCUGAAUAGGGUGAAGCCAGAGGAAACUCUGGUGGAGGCUCGUAGCGGUUCUGACGUGCAAAUCGAUCGUCAAAUUUGGGUAUAGGGGCGAAAGACUAAUCGAACCAUCUAGUAGCUGGUUCCUGUCGA